Sinocyclocheilus anshuiensis is the source of this 218-nucleotide long non-coding RNA. RefSeq lists it as uncharacterized. NCBI's taxonomy places the organism in Eukaryota, Metazoa, Chordata, Actinopteri, Cypriniformes, Cyprinidae. The record is from RefSeq and is a predicted model, not a curated record. The transcript is spliced from 3 exons.
UCAAAUUUUGUGAGUUUAAACUCCACUAAGCAGGUAGAAACAGUCACACCUUUUGCACCUUCAUACACACACACAUACUGCAGCAACAUAAAUGGCUCAGACUCGCAGUGGCACUACGUCACUGCACAGAACUGCAGUGCAGACUUAUAUAGGAGGUCAGCACUCGAUCCAUACCAAAUUCAAAGCCGGUUUUCCUUUAUCUUAAACCCAUGAUCGAC